AAAAAUUUCCGUCGAUUCACUCAAAUUCCCUGGAGGCCCCAUGGCUUAGGUUCAACAGCAUAGAGUUAGAAAAUAAAUUCAGCUAUAAACCGUUUUUCUUCCUUCACCAAUAAUUACAAUUUCAAAUUUGAAAUCCAAUACCCCCAAACUCCCCAUUACAAAAGUCCAAUCCCUCUCUUAGUUUCUCCACAAUUCCAAUUCCAAUUCCAAUUUCGAAAUCCAUCUGGGAAUUCUCAGACAAAGAAGAUGAAAGCAUCUCUGAAAUUCCGUGAAGACCAGAAACCAUUAUUGAGAGCGAAAAUCCCUCUCACCAUUCUCGGCCUCCCUUUCCAAUCCGCCAUAGCCGCCGGAACCUCUAAAGAACUCACUCUCAAGCUCUCAACUCACUUCGAAUCCGGCCCCUCCUUCAAUCUCGCAUAUCGCCCCAACGAUUCUUCAAACCCCUUCUCUGUAAUCGUCAAAACCGGAAUCGCCUCCUUCGGCUCCCCGACCUCUUCCCCUAUGCUCAUGAGCGCCGAAUUCAACUUAAUCGCCUCUGGAAACCCCACUUUCAUGCUCCACUUCAAGCCUAAAUUCGGCGAUUUCACGGUCAAGAAAUCGCAAUCCUCGUCCGUGAUGUUCCAGAAGGUUUUGAAAUCGGAGGAGGAAUCUGUGGAUGUUAAAACUGCUGUUUCGAAGGCAGUUUUGGGUUUGAAGGUGUCGGCUAGUACGGCGGUUCCGAUUAUGAAAUCCGGCGCCGUGAGGGUUCGUUGGGGUCUUAGGGUUCCUGCUGCGGAGGGGAUGAAGAUGGGUGGUGGGAUUUCGUUUAGGGAGGUUCCGUUUAUGGUGCUGGAUAAGAUCGGGUUCGAACACGUGGACGGUGGGGAUACGAGUACGAAGGAGGGUAGUUUGGGAAAUGGGGAUUUGAAUUUGGAUUCGGAUUGCUUUUCAGUGAAACGUCAGUUUGAGGUUCUGAAGUUAGAGAAUGGGUUAUUGAGAAAAAGCAUAGACGAUCUUAGGAAGAAAAUGAAGUUGUUCUCCAAUUCCGGCAGCCGAUAUAAGGAUAGAAAGGGGCCGGAGUUGGGUGGUUUUGAUGGAUUGCCGCCAGAUGACACGGCGGCGGGGGUUGAGGAGCUGAGGAAACCGGCGCUGUCCAGUGCCUGAAUUCGUCGAUAUGACAAACGUCAGUUUAAAUUGAAGGCUGUGCUUGAGGUCUUAUCCGAAGUAAGCAUUAUUACUGAGGUUGUCGUACGAUCGAGACUAACACGAGAGAGAGAGAGCUGAGAAGUUUGAGGUUUAUUUGUACAUUCUCCAUUUGCUGUUGAAACGAAUGAGGAUGAAGAAAGAAUAAUCUCGUUGGGAGAAGAAAGAAGAAGAAGAAUAUGAUGAUGAAGUGCGCUAUGUGUUACUCCGUUUGCUUCGCUGGAGAAGGUAGAAGAAGAAAAAGAAGUAGUUGUUGUUGAUGAAAGGAAGAAGAAGAAAAUGAAGUUGUCGAAAAGUUGUGCGUUGGAGGGAAAAACUUUCGUGAAAUUGUGUGGGUAAAUCGAUGAUGAGAACAUGUAAUCGUGGGUCAUUCUUUUUUUUUUUCACUUUUUAGUCGGCUUUUUUGGUAUUUCACGUGCCUUUUGCGCUUGUAGGCUAAAAUUAUAAUUGAUGACCAUUUUAAGAAUAAGAAUUAAGGAUAUAACAACAUUAAAAAAAUUGCAAA
Molecule: RNA transcript, 1687 nt
Organism: Cucumis sativus (cucumber)
Lineage: Eukaryota; Viridiplantae; Streptophyta; Magnoliopsida; Cucurbitales; Cucurbitaceae
Exons: 3
Source: RefSeq, a predicted model, not a curated record